GGACUAAUGAAAGUUUUUAGAAAAUUGGGCAGACUAGAUGGGCGGAAUGGUUCUUAUCUGCCGUCACAUUCUAUGUUUCUAUGUGUGUGUGUGUGUGUUAGUGUAUGUAUGUGUGUGUUUGUGUGUGUUAGUGUAUGUGUUUGUGUGUUAGUGUAUGUGUGUGUUAGUGUAUGUAUGUGUGUGUUUAUGUGUGUUAGUGUGUGUUUGUGUGUUAGUGUAUGUGUGCUAGUGUGUGUGUUUGUGUAUGUGUGUUAGUGUGUGUGUGUGUUAGUGUGUGUGUGUUAGUGUGUGUGUUAGUGUAUGUGUGUGUUAGUGUAUAUGUGUCAGCAUGUCUGUGUGUGUGUCAGUAUGUCUGUGUGUGUGUGUCAGUAUGUCUGUGUGUCAGUAUAUAUGUGUGUGUAUAUCUGUGUGUGUCAGUAUGUGUAUGUGUCAGUAUGUCUGUCAGUGCGUCAGUAUGUCUGUUAGUACAUGUGUAUGCAUGUGUCAGUAUAUCUGUCUGUGUGCCAGUAUGUCUGUGUGUGUGUGUCAGUAUGUCUGUCUGUGUGUCAGUAUAUAUGUGUGUGUAUAUCUGUGUGUGUCAGUAUGUGUAUGUGUCAGUAUGUUUGUCAGUGCGUCAGUAUGUCUGUUAGUGCAUGUGUAUGCAUGUGUCAGUAUAUCUGUCUGUGUGCCAGUAUGUCUGUGUGUGUGUGUGUCAGUAUAUCAGUCUGUGUGUGUCAGUGUAUGUGCCUGUGUGUGUGUCAGUAUUUCUCAGUGUAUGUGG
This is a non-coding RNA of Pelobates cultripes (western spadefoot toad), 760 nucleotides long. The record is from the annotation of a GenBank genome assembly. NCBI's taxonomy places the organism in Eukaryota, Metazoa, Chordata, Amphibia, Anura, Pelobatidae.